Long non-coding RNA from Triticum dicoccoides, 800 nucleotides. RefSeq lists it as uncharacterized. The transcript is spliced from 3 exons. Lineage: Eukaryota; Viridiplantae; Streptophyta; Magnoliopsida; Poales; Poaceae. The record is from RefSeq and is a predicted model, not a curated record.
UUCCUCGAUUAGCAAAAAAGAGGUGUUGAUGUGGGGGAUAAGUUUACAGUCAAUUGAGUUUGCUUACGAUUGGGCUUGAAAAAAAGGGUUCGUUUGUUUAAUAUAGUCUGGCCUUGCUCCCUUUACAUAUAUACCCAUGAGUUUAUAUAUGUCCUCGAGUUACACAGAGUAUCAACAAGCCUCAUCGGGUAUCAACGGGCAGAGGCUGAGGACUGGAUAACGAAGGAAUGGAAAUGGUGGGCUAAUUAAAUGGAAUUUGUGAAAUGCAUGAUUUAAGAAGUUGGUUGCAUGGAAAUUAUAUAUGUAAGAAAUUAUGCUUGAUUACUGCUGAAUGGCUCUCUCGGCAACAUGGGCCAGCAGAUCUCAUCACCAUGCCGCAGCCAAGAUGGAGCUGGGAGGGAAUUACUGAAAGAAUGUCCCAAACACAAAAUUCUAGAUUCUCUACUGAAGGCAUAUAGGUACACACAGAUCUUAGUUGGAAGACCAUCCGCCAUCGUCUCCGCCGACUUUUUGCCGGAAGACCAUCAGUCGUCACCUAGACCUACUUCGCCGCAGCCCAUUCAUUCGUCACCUGCCAUAGAGCAUAGUGCUCCUUGCUAUACGGCGGACCUGGUGAAACUGUGCAAAUAAUUAACAAACCAAACCCCACCUGGAUAGUGCUACAGAUUUGCUUAGUGGGCAGGAAUAACUGGAGUACUAUUUCUUCUUUAAGGGCGUAUUUCGGAGGGGAGCAUACACAUUACCUUGAUUGAGUUGAGUUUCGUGUUCUGCAUUACUGUUAUAAGUUACCAGCAGCAAAG